Non-coding RNA from Otolemur garnettii (small-eared galago), 477 nucleotides. NCBI's taxonomy places the organism in Eukaryota, Metazoa, Chordata, Mammalia, Primates, Galagidae. The record is from the annotation of a RefSeq genome assembly.
CACUUUUUGCCCAGGAAAACUCUUGAGAGGUGAAGGAUGGAGAAGUAUCCACAGGCUUCACUUGUGAUCUUUUGGCUUCAACUGAGCUGGGUGAGCAGUGAGGACAAGGUGGUACAGAGCCCCCCAUAUCUGGCUGUCCAUGAGGGCGACAGUGCAACAAUCAGCUGCAGUUAUGAGGUGGCUUACUUUCAAAGCCUGCAGUGGUACAAGCAGGAAAGGAAUGCUCCUACAUUCCUGUUUAUACUACGUUCAAGUGGAAUUGAGAAGUCAGGAAGAUUAAGUAGCAUAUUAGAUAAGAAAGAACUUCUCAGCACCCUGAACAUCACAGCCACCCAGACCGGAGACUCAGCCAUCUACCUCUGUGCUGUGGAGGCACAGUGCUCCUGUGGCACCUGCAGCCUGUACCCAAAUGCUACAGCUGAUGCUCUGCAACUGGAAGACAGGGAGCUUGCAGAACUGAGCAAAAAUAAGCUGUAA